GAGUUUGAUCGUGGCUCAGGACGAACGCUGGCGGCAUGCCUAAUACAUGCAAGUCGAACGCACGGAGUUGAAAAGCUUGCUUUUCGACCAAGUGAGUGGCGGACGGGUGAGUAACACGUGGGUAACCUGCCCAUAAGAGGGGGAUAACAUUCGGAAACGGAUGCUAAUACCGCAUAUUUCAAGUGACCGCAUGGUCGCUUGAUGAAAGGUGGCUUCGGCUACCACUUAUGGAUGGACCCGCGGUGCAUUAGUUAGUUGGUGAGGUAAUGGCUCACCAAGACCAUGAUGCAUAGCCGACCUGAGAGGGUGAUCGGCCACACUGGGACUGAGACACGGCCCAGACUCCUACGGGAGGCAGCAGUAGGGAAUCUUCCGCAAUGGACGAAAGUCUGACGGAGCAAUGCCGCGUGAGUGAAGAAGGUUUUCGGAUCGUAAAACUCUGUUGUUAGAGAAGAACAAGGAUGAGAGUAACUGCUCAUCCCCUGACGGUAUCUAACCAGAAAGCCAC
Molecule: ribosomal RNA, 508 nt
Filed under: uncultured Bacillus sp.
Lineage: Bacteria; Bacillati; Bacillota; Bacilli; Caryophanales; Bacillaceae
Description: bacterial SSU rRNA
Rfam family: Bacterial small subunit ribosomal RNA
Source: RNAcentral